AAGACUCUAAGCAUGAGGUGGACACUCCUUAAGCCUUCAGACAUUCCACUAAGCAAGUAAACUCUAAAAUUGUUAAAUCAGUGUUAUGCUCUCUCAUUCCUCUCUUUUCCAUCCGUUCCAUUUUUCUUUCUUCAUUAUCUGUUAAACUCUUAAACAUCCUAAGUCAUCGAAAUUUUCCUAAUUUCAAUGGAUUGGCAAGGAGUUGAAGUUGGAUACUUAAAUUAGAGAAGGGCUGGGGUAAGGCCAGCUUAAAAGAGGAUGUAUAUUCAAUCAAUUACAAGCUUGGAACACGAAUUUGGUUGUUUCAUUAAGCAAGUAAGUUGGAUUCGAGGGGAAUUCUAGCAACAAGGGGUAAACUUAGAAGCAAAAAAAGGUAUAUACCUCAUCUCUUCUAUGUUUUUAUUUAUGAAUGAAAAAAAAUUAGUUGAUAAUGAAAAUAGUUAAUAAUAUGAAUUGGUUAACUAUGUAUGCUUAACUGAAGUAUUAGUAAUUGAUUAUGGUUAUAAAAAGAGCUAAUUGAUGUAAAUGAAAUGGAGUAGAAACCUGGUUCAAAUGAAUUAAAUUUGAUGUAUAACAAUUAGAAAUCAAAGGUAGCAUCAUCAUAGUGUAUAACAUUCUGGGAUUCUGCAGAGCGCGAACACUGCCAGUGUGGCACUGCUGCGAUGAUAUUAGGUUUAAAAUGGGCACAGCUACGCCACUGUUUCACGAAGAAAACCAAGAAGGCGCGGCGGUGCUGCGCCGUUUCAUAGGCCAAUAACAGCGCAGCCGCGCUGAUGCUGUUGAGUUUUAAAAAAAUGAAACAAACAGAUUGUUUAAUAAAGGGACUUGGAUGCACAUGUAUAAUAGCUUUCAAGACUUGAUGAAGAAAACAUAAGGAAGCAAAUUAGAGCUUGUAUAAAUUGAUGAAAUUCAAUUGUAAAAUUCUAAAUAUCAAAUCAAAUGAAUAUUUAAAAGAAUGGAUCAAAGCUUCUAGAACUCUGUGGUUAUAAGCUGUAUUUGCUAUCACAGAAUCUGAGUACUGUAUUAACAUGAUAGGGAAUGGAUAGAGUUACCAAAUCUUGGGUCUGGGCUGGACAGGGAGUAGCACAGCUGUGCCACUCCCAAGUCAAAGGCAACGCAACUGCGCCGAGCUGUAGAGCUGCCAAGACAAGUUGUAUAUAAUUUGGGCUUUGGGAUAUGUAAGCAUGAGUCUUCUAAUAUGUAUUACAUUAAACAUGAGAUGUUUAGCAUGAUCUAGCAUGGAAUGAUGAUAUCAAAGAAAAGUAGAAUAAGAAGUUUUCAAAUAAAAUACAAUAAACAAGAGUAAGGAUCAUAAUAAGCAAAGUAAUUAUAUUUGAUAUGUAUAACUGAUGUGGCUUGUAUAUACACUUGAUUGUGUAGGAUUCACAAGACACAGGUAGCAGCUAUAAGCUGUAAUCUACUCGGAAGGUAAUUCCUCUAUUUCUAUUUGCUACUUGCUCUUGAUUUUAAUUACAUAUACUCAUUGCAACAAUAAAGAAUGUUGACAUGCAUGUUACUUGCUAUAAAUUGGGAACAUCAAAUUAUGAACAUAUUUGGUUCAGUUAUAGAACUCAAUUUGUGAUAUGUGAUAUAUCAAGUAUGUGGAACAUAUAUUUAUUUGAAACUGAUAUUUAUGUUGAGCAUGAAAUCGUAUAAUUGCUUUAAAUUGAGAUAUAUGUUGAGCAUGAAACUUAUGUGCUAUGUGUGACAUGAAAACUGCUAGAUUUGUUGAGCUGUCAAGCUCAAUGUUGCAAAAAUAAAUUUUUUGCAUGUUAGCGAUACAAUGCAAAAAUACUUGUUAUUUGGAUGACAUAGAAAAGAUGGCGUACAAGAGAAUCAUGUUUUCUUUAUUUUGAAACUUAGAUGGUAUCAUGAUAAUGAUGUACAAGUAUACAUAUGUGUAAAUUCCUGAAAUAUUCAAUAAAUAAAGUAUUUGUUUUGAAACAAGAAUGUAUUGUGGUGAAUGUUUGUAUGUAGAAUUAUACAGGUAGAACAUCAAUACAGAAGAUGUUAAGUAUUGAUAAUUGAACUCUUAUAGUUCAUUUAUUCUGAUUAUAUUGGGAAUCAUGAAGGUUGCGAUUCAGAUAACGUAGGAAAAGAAAGAUAUAUAAAAGAAGUUUUAAUUAUACGUAUUUUUUCAGUCGAUAUUGCAUCUAAUUUUGAUAUAAGGCUGAACUUAAAUAGUAUUGAACGCACAAUGUCGAGACUAAUAUUAAUCCUAAUAUUGGGUUAAGUUGGUCCCGAUUUUGGGGUUGUCACAUAACCAAACUAGAAUAAAAGUUCAUAAUCAAUCCGGGCAUAAUAUAGUAUUCUAGAUGCAUGCUUAUACUAUGUGUGUGUGUGUGUGUGAAAUUAUAUUAAGUCUGAAGUGUUUAAAGAUAUUUGGAAUAUCUGAUAAGUGGUAUUUUUACUUACUUAUUGAAUACCAAUUCAUGCGAAUUGUGCCCAUCUCAAGUACAUUUUAUUGUGUUUUAGUUGCAUUUCUUGUUAUUUUGCAUUGUAUUUACUUAAAACUCCUUUUGGUGAAUAAGUGCAGGAAUUGGCUUAAUUUUGGUGGUAUUAGAGGACACGAGGCGAAUGGACGCGUGAAAGUAAGGCACAUGCGGGGGAAUGCAUGGCAUGAAGGUGCAAUAGAGCAAGGAGAUCAAGUAUGGAAGAAGAUUAAGCAUGAAUGAACAAGUAGUAGCAGCAGCAGCAGCUUGACAGAACCAUAACCAGAAUUUGCAAACUGUAAGUCGCGUGGUCGCGCGGCAAGAUGAGCAUGGAAACGCACGCCCGCGCGAGUACCCAGCCAGACACUGACGACCUACUGCAAGUUGCGCGGUCGCGAGCAUGUCAAGCAUAGGAAACGCGCGCCCGCGUGAGGACUCGAUUGGACAGGGCAAGACAUUCUGCAAGUCUCGCACCCGUGCGAGAGAUAUACUGGAGAGGCGCGCGGCCGUGUGCAAUGCUGAUGCUGUGAUUUUGUUUUAUUCUAAUUUUAAUUAAAUAAUGUGUACUUGGUUUUUAAAAAAUUAUUCUGGCGUGUGUCAGAGGCAGGAUUGAGACUUUUGACGUAUUUUUCAUAUUGUAAUUAGGGUUUACACCUUGGGAGAGAUUCCAACAGAGAACAAAGAUAAAACGUCUACUUCUCCAAUUCUUCUUGGGAUUCUCUAUCAUUGUGGAUUUUCAUUAUUAUCUACUGGAUUUCUAUGAGGAUUUAAGCGUUUAUCAUUGGUUUUUAUUCAG
RNAcentral lists this long non-coding RNA (3228 nucleotides) under Panax ginseng (ginseng). RNAcentral's name for it is "long non-coding RNA (PGIN_LNC011487)". The record is from RNAcentral. Lineage: Eukaryota; Viridiplantae; Streptophyta; Magnoliopsida; Apiales; Araliaceae.